GUGGGGAAUAUUGGGCAAUGGGGGCAACCCUGACCCAGCAACGCCGCGUGAGGGAAGAAGGUUUUCGGAUUGUAAACCUCUGUCCUAUGGGAAGAAGGAAGUGACGGUACCAUAGGAGGAAGCCCCGGCUAACUACGUGCCAGCAGCCGCGGUAAUACGUAGGGGGCGAGCGUUGUCCGAAAUUACUGGGCGUAAAGGGUGCGCAGGUGGCCUGACAAGUCAGAUGUGAAAUACCGAUGCUUAACGUCGGGGCUGCAUUUGAAACUAUGAGGCUGGAGUGCAGGAGAGGGAAGCGGAAUUCCUAGUGUAGCGGUGAAAUGCAUAGAUAUUAGGAGGAACACCAGUGGCGAAGGCGGCUUUCUGGACUGUAACUGACACUGAGGCACGAAAGCGUGGGGAGCAAACAGGAUUAGAAACCCUUGUAGUCC
This 428-nucleotide ribosomal RNA is filed under the name uncultured bacterium. RNAcentral's name for it is "partial 16S ribosomal RNA". It matches the Rfam family "Bacterial small subunit ribosomal RNA", at positions 354 to 796 of the family's 1533-position model. The record is from RNAcentral.